GAAAAAGCCUAGGGUUUCUUCACCCAAAAUAAGAAAUGAUAGAGAAGAGGUGAAGAAGAAGAAGAAUCAAGAUUUGUUUGCAAUACACUCUGUUUUCCCUAUUUUUCUAACCACUGGACGGUUGUGUUUUAACUGAUUUUCUUAAUGGUCAUUGUAACCCAGUUAAAGAUGGAAACUUUGUGAUUGUUCAAGUCAAAAAAGUGCGAGUCUUGUGUCUAUAUUUAUUGGGGAUUGCUUUUUU
RNAcentral lists this unclassified non-coding RNA (241 nucleotides) under Hevea brasiliensis (rubber tree). Lineage: Eukaryota; Viridiplantae; Streptophyta; Magnoliopsida; Malpighiales; Euphorbiaceae. The record is from RNAcentral.